This 75-nucleotide transfer RNA is filed under the name Patescibacteria group bacterium. RNAcentral's name for it is "tRNA-Phe". It matches the Rfam family "tRNA". From Rfam's summary of the family: Transfer RNA (tRNA) molecules are approximately 80 nucleotides in length. Their secondary structure includes four short double-helical elements and three loops (D, anti-codon, and T loops). The record is from RNAcentral.
GCCGCGAUAGCUCAGGGGUAGAGCAGGGGCUUGAAGAGCCUCGUGUCGGGUGUUCGAUUCACCCUCGCGGCACCA